UUAAUUGAAGCCAAAAUAGAGGCUUUUCAUUGUUAAUGAAGCAAUUGAUUUGUAAAUAAAUCCAAUUAAA
RNAcentral lists this transfer RNA (70 nucleotides) under Eysarcoris aeneus. RNAcentral's name for it is "tRNA-Asn". The record is from RNAcentral. Lineage: Eukaryota; Metazoa; Arthropoda; Insecta; Hemiptera; Pentatomidae.